RNAcentral lists this ribosomal RNA (429 nucleotides) under Acidobacteriota bacterium. Its description in RNAcentral is "Acidobacteria bacterium partial 16S ribosomal RNA". It matches the Rfam family "Bacterial small subunit ribosomal RNA", at positions 355 to 776 of the family's 1533-position model. Lineage: Bacteria; Pseudomonadati; Acidobacteriota. The record is from RNAcentral.
UGGGGAAUUUUGGACAAUGGGGGAAACCCUGAUCCACCCAUCCCGCGUGUGCGAUGAAGGCCUUCGGGUUGUAAAGCACUUUUGGCAGGAAAGAAACGUCAUGGGUUAAUACCCCGUGAAACUGACGGUACCUGCAGAAUAAGCACCGGCUAACUACGUGCCAGCAGCCGCGGUAAUACGUAGGGUGCAAGCGUUAAUCGGAAUUACUGGGCGUAAAGCGUGCGCAGGCGGUUCGGAAAGAAAGAUGUGAAAUCCCAGAGCUCAACUUUGGAACUGCAUUUUUAACUACCGGGCUAGAGUGUGUCAGAGGGAGGUGGAAUUCCGCGUGUAGCAGUGAAAUGCGUAGAUAUGCGGAGGAACACCGAUGGCGAAGGCAGCCUCCUGGGAUAACACUGACGCUCAUGCACGAAAGCGUGGGGAGCAAACAGG